GUGGGGAAUCUUCCGCAAUGGACGAAAGUCUGACGGAGCAACGCCGCGUGAGUGAAGAAGGUUUUCGGAUCGUAAAGCUCUUUCGUUAGGGACGAACGUGCUCUUUGUGAAUAAUGAGGAGUAAUGACGGUACCUAAAUAAGAAGCCACGGCUAACUACGUGCCAGCAGCCGCGGUAAUACGUAGGUGGCAAGCGUUGUCCGGAAUUAUUGGGCGUAAAGCGCGCGCAGGCGGGAUAUCAAGUCUGGCUUAAAAGUGCGAGGCUCAACCUCGUGAGGGGACAGAAACUGGUAUUCUUGAGUGUCGGAGAGGAAAGUGGAAUUCCAAGUGUAGCGGUGAAAUGCGUAGAGAUUUGGAAGAACACCAGUGGCGAAGGCGACUUUCUGGACGAUGUCUGACGCUGAGGCGCGAAAGCUAGGGGAGCGAACGGGAUUAGAAACCCUUGUAGUCC
Molecule: ribosomal RNA, 450 nt
Filed under: uncultured bacterium
Lineage: Bacteria
Description: partial 16S ribosomal RNA
Rfam family: Bacterial small subunit ribosomal RNA
Source: RNAcentral